UAAUUUUUAUUUUUAUUUCUUCUUUAGACUGCACAUUAAUCCAAUAGAAUCCAAGCGAUUAUUCUGGAUCACGUCAUACGGUUACCUACUUACGUUUUUAUGGUUUGUAUGUAUACAGUUAUUAUUUCUUGUAUUAUUAUAGCAAGUAUCGUUGGUAAACACUUUCUGUAUCACACUUCCACUACAAGUAUACACUGUCGUCGAUUUUUGUAGCUUAAUGAGCUGCAGGUGGAGUGACGAAUCCUAUUUUAUUUAAGCGUGCACUCAUUUUGAUUGUUGAGUGAAAUGGUCUACUCAAUCGAUGAGUAUAUGGUGGACUACAACAAUGUGGGCCUUUAAGGCGCUACGCUGCUUGAACGUUUUGCCACACACCGGACACUUAAAUUUCGGAGCCAUGCCACACUCGUAACGCAGGUGCUGCAUAACUCCUUGCUUGUACUUGUAUGACCGGCCACAUCCAUUCGAGCAAACAAAUCGGGAUACUGCAAUCAUAAACGCAAGUAUAUUAUUGGUAAACACUUUCUGUGUCACAAUACCACUACAAGUAUACACUGUCAUCGAUUUUUGUAGCUUAAUCAGUUGCAAGUAGGAGUGACGAAUCUUAUUUUAUUC
Long non-coding RNA from Metopolophium dirhodum (rose-grain aphid), 612 nucleotides. RefSeq lists it as uncharacterized. NCBI's taxonomy places the organism in Eukaryota, Metazoa, Arthropoda, Insecta, Hemiptera, Aphididae. The transcript is spliced from 3 exons. The record is from RefSeq and is a predicted model, not a curated record.